AUUCUGAAACUUUUCUUUCCACACAAAAAUGGACCUACGAACACUCCGGUUGAGUUUGAAGAACAAGAAAAACAGUAGAGGUCUACCCGGUACCUAUGGUUAUAAACAUGAUGAUCAUAAGUGCAUGCAUCAUUUUGCAGAUUCUCAUCCAGGAUGAUACAGCUUUACAAUUUCCAUGGAGGUGAUUGAUGAUGAUAAACAAUUGGUGAAGUAGGCCUAAUAGAACAGUGAUAGGACCACAAAGAGAAAUACAACCUACAGCAGUUAUAUGAGACUGGUGUAACAGAUGUUUUCAUUCAAGAAAUCCAACAAACAAGAGUGACUUAGCGUAGGAUGCACUUGAUAAAGAUGGAAAAGGUUUUUUUUUUUCAAGUCCCAAUUUUUUUAAUAUUUUUUAUUAUUACAACCCCCAAUUCAUGAAGUAUUGAAAUUUCCUGUUGAUUUUCAUUAAAACUGGUUGCAAAAGGAGAAGCUAUAAACAUACAAAUAGGAGCGGCGAAGUGAAGUUGAAAGUGAGGGGGGGCACAGGGAAAUUGCUGUAUUAUGUGAAAUUUUUAAGAAGUUGCGAGAGAGCAAAAUUUUGACAUUUUUAAAAAGAAUAUCAAAUUUUGUGAUAGAUUUCGGCAAAAUAUGCAGAAUGAUAUAUUUCACCUUUUUUUUUUGGGGGGGGGGGGGGGCAAGAGUCCUUCAAGCCCCCCCUCCACCUGUAGUGUACGAAACUGCUUAUCUACCCCCACUCACAUGAAUUAUUAAACUUAAUGCACAAAGGAUUUCCUUAUUGUUUUCUUGUUUCAAAGGGCACUCGUCAUGGUGACCAUAAAACGGGUCCUUCUCAGGUGAAAGGGGCACAGAACAAGUUCUUUAGGAGCACUUUUCUUGGGUAAAGGGGGCAGUUAUUCGAGAAAGGGCACUUACAAGAAGGCGAGGGGGCACUUUUUAACACAUAAAACGGGCCCUCAGAUAAAAGGGCAUAGAACACGUUCGGGGGGGGGGGGGCAUUUUUUGGUAAAAAUUUGCAUACAAGGAAGAGCACUUGGUAACACCUAAAACAGGUUCUCGUCAGGUGAAAGGGACACAGUACACGUUCGUGAGGGGGCAUUUUUCUUACAUAAAAUUAAAGGCACUUUUCAGUGCUUCAAAAAGUAGGGGGAACUGUGCCCCCCAGGAUCGCUGCCCCUGCAUACAAAAAAACAUUUUCGUUCGAUUCAAAGUAUUAACAUACGCUUAAGAAAAAGAGUAAGGCUAAAUCCUCUGAUAAUGUGAUAUUAUUUCUGGCUAUUAAUAAAAUUCACAACCAGAAAAUGCCUUCAUGUCUUUCAUUUGUAUUCAUAUAGUAUUUGUACAAAGCUAAAAUGAAAGGGAUUUGGAAUUGGCAAAAUUCAAAAUGCGAUGGAGAUCGAAAGAGUGAAAGAGUGAUGAGAAGUGGGAUGAAAAGAGAUGAGAAAGAAAUGGAGGGGCACAUACGAAGAGAUAAUUCAAAGGGGGAGGGGGGUAAGAGAGCACGAAUGGUGCAGGAAGUAGGAACAAAGGGGUGAAAGAGAAAUAAGACGAGAUUUAUGGAAACCAGGAGGCAGAUAACAAGUGGGAAAAGAAGAAGGAAAUAUAUGUAGGAGAAAGGCAGCACCAAAAGAACAUGAGUGGG
This is a long non-coding RNA of Lytechinus pictus (painted urchin), 1642 nucleotides long. RefSeq lists it as uncharacterized. NCBI's taxonomy places the organism in Eukaryota, Metazoa, Echinodermata, Echinoidea, Temnopleuroida, Toxopneustidae. The transcript has 4 exons. The record is from RefSeq and is a predicted model, not a curated record.